AUACCGGCGGCUCGAGUGGUGGCCACUUUUAUUGGGCUUAAAGCGUUCGUAGCUGGGUUGUUAAGUCUCUUGGGAAAUCUGGCAGCUUAACUGUCAGGCGUCUAAGAGAUACUGGCAAUCUAGGAACCGGGAGAGGUGAGGGGUACUUCGGGGGUAGGAGUGAAAUCCUGUAAUCCUCGAGGGACCACCUGUGGCGAAGGCGCCUCACCAGAACGGCUUCGACAGUGAGGGACGAAAGCUGGGGGAGCAAACCGGAUUAGAUACCCGGGUAGGCCCAGCCGUAAACGAUGCGCGUUAGGUGUGUCGAUGACCACGAGUCAUCGAGGUGCCGAAGGGAAACCGUGAAGCGAGCCACCUGGGAAGUACGGCCGCAAGGCUGAA
Molecule: ribosomal RNA, 381 nt
Filed under: uncultured archaeon
Lineage: Archaea
Description: bacterial SSU rRNA
Rfam family: Archaeal small subunit ribosomal RNA
Source: RNAcentral